GACGAACGCUGGCGGCGUGCCUAAUACAUGCAAGUCGAACGAGAGCAACCGGUGCUUGCACUGGCCAAUCUAGUGGCGAACGGGUGAGUAACACGUGGGUAACCUGCCCAUCAGAGGGGGAUAACAUCCGGAAACGGAUGCUAAAACCGCAUAGGUCUUCGAACCGCAUGGUUUGAAGAGGAAAAGCGGCGCAAGCUUCUGCUGAUGGAUGGACCCGCGGUGCAUUAGCUAGUUGGUGAGGUAACGGCUCACCAAGGCCGUGAUGCAUAGCCGACCUGAGAGGGUGAUCGGCCACAUUGGGACUGAGACACGGCCCAAACUCCUACGGGAGGCAGCAGUAGGGAAUCUUCCGCAAUGGACGCAAGUCUGACGGAGCAACGCCGCGUGAGUGAAGAAGGUUUUCGGAUCGUAAAACUCUGUUGUUAGAGAAGAACAAGUGCUAGAGUAACUGUUAGCGCCUUGACGGUAUCUAACCAGAAAGCCACGGCUAACUACGUG
RNAcentral lists this ribosomal RNA (498 nucleotides) under uncultured bacterium. Its description in RNAcentral is "partial 16S ribosomal RNA". It matches the Rfam family "Bacterial small subunit ribosomal RNA", at positions 28 to 507 of the family's 1533-position model. The record is from RNAcentral.